GUAGGUGGCAAGCGUUGUCCGGAAUUAUUGGGCGUAAAGCGCGCGCAGGCGGUUCUUUAAGUCUGAUGUGAAAGCCCACGGCUCAACCGUGGAGGGUCAUUGGAAACUGGAGAACUUGAGUACAGAAGAGGAAAGCGGAAUUCCACGUGUAGCGGUGAAAUGCGUAGAGAUGUGGAGGAACACCAGUGGCGAAGGCGGCUUUCUGGUCUGUAACUGACGCUGAGGCGCGAAAGCGUGGGGAGCAAACAGGGAUUAGAUACCCUGGUAGUCCACGCCGUAAACGAUGAGUGCUAAGUGUUAGGGGGUUUUCCGCCCCCUUAGUGCUGCAGCUAACGCAUUAAGCACUCCGCCUGGGGAGUACGGCCGCAAGGCUG
RNAcentral lists this ribosomal RNA (374 nucleotides) under uncultured organism. Its description in RNAcentral is "partial 16S ribosomal RNA". It matches the Rfam family "Bacterial small subunit ribosomal RNA", at positions 527 to 896 of the family's 1533-position model. The record is from RNAcentral.